CCGUUUACGUGUGGGGCCGGUGUUUCAGCCAGCGAACCAGCUUAAUGAUCAGGUGCACGUCGCACACAUGUCCCGCUGUGAAAACCUAGAUCUUGAUUGGCAAAAAUAUCUGAGGCGUCUCCUCUCGUCGCCUCCCGCGGCCUCCACUCCGCCUUCUCACUCCGAGCCGCCGCCCUCUUGUCUCCUCUCUCCCGCGGCCUCGACUCCCCACUCCUGUCGGCGGGCAGAGGCGGGCGAGCUCGAAGAGUAGCUCGCGCGGGGCGGGGCGUCAGUGGGGCGAGCGCGCGCGGCGAACGGCGGGGCGAGCGGUCAUGGCUGGGGGGAAGAAGAUGCGACGGCCAUGGCGGCUGAUGGCAGGAGCGCGUCUGGGAGAGGCUGGCGGCGUGGAGGGUGAGCGGCGAUCGGACGGAGCAGGAUGCGAUGGCCACGGUGGUGGGCGGAAGGAGGCGCUGAAGGAGUGGGUCCGGAGGAUGGCGGCGGCGCAUCAGCGGAGUCACUCACGCCAGCUCGUCGGCUCCCGCCGGCCUCCUCAAGCCUCGUCAAGCCAUAGGCAAGCACCAAGGCCGUUGACCCAAGAGUGCGUGCUCACAACGGCCUGGUCGCCUGGAUCCACCCCGCCGCUUGAUGCCCAUGGAUGGGACGGCCGCGGUGGCGAGCGGAAGGGGGCGCUGAAGUAGCGGGUCUAGAGGAGGGCGGCGGCGCAUCAGUGGAGUCACUCGCGCCAGUAGGUCGACUCUCGCCAGCCUCUACAAGCGGCGGAGACGGUUCGGCCUGGCCAUGGCGAUGACAGUUCUCCGGAUCUGUGUUGUAGUUGCUGCUGCCGCUGUUGCUGCGGCUGGGCGAGCUGUUACAUAGUCACACUGAGGCUGACACGCAACAAUGCUUGCAUUUCUGGGGCAUCAUCUCAUGCAGACGUCGGCACCCGACAUCCGUUCGGUAUGAGCGAUUACCUGACGGAUUCAUCCCUGGAGUGAUACAUCAAAAGAUUAAUCGGAUGGUGCCCAGAUAACACGAAGGAGGUUCCAGGAUUUAGUAGGCUUGCUUCUUGUCUCAUCCUGUACUAGGCUCUGGUUAUGUGCUCUUCUCCUGUGUUGAGGUGUGUCGCUUGCUUCUCCUUACAAGGAAUGCAUCUUCCGUUCAGGGCCUGUUUUCUCUAUGGUGAUUGACUGAUUGUUCUUGCUUUGUAUCUGAUACACUCUGCUGCUAUAUUUCAUGAGCAUAUCCUUUGCUAAAUGACAUGUAGCAGUACCUUUACAGUUCCAUUUCUGCCGAGACAACAGCUACAGAUUGCGUCCCAAAUUCGGCAAAUGGGUCAUAGAAGCUUCAAGUGUUUCUUGUUGUUUCUGCGUUUGCAACCAAAUUUUUUUUCCUCUCUAAACAUUAUCUAAACAGAUUUAUGAAACUCAUUUUGCUACCUCAAGCUUGUUUAAAUACACUUCCCAAAACAUCAAUGCUUCUUAUGUUCUAAUCAUUCUCCUAUGUAUAUGCACUUGAAUAUGAUGAUUAGACUUUUCGUAUGGAGUGCCUCUUUGGCUUCUGAUUGUACUGGCUACAUAGUUAACACGUUUUCUUCUUUUUUUCACUGCAAUUGGAAACCUUACACUGUAGUCGGUACCAAACUGUUGCAUCAUGACUUUGUUUGAAUUCGAAAAAAUAUGAGUGAAUUCUUGAAUUUAUGGUGUGAGCAGAAGGUUUGAUCGGAAUGUGUCAUUGCACAAAAGGCAAAACUUCCGCUAUGUGUCAUUGCAGAAUGGUUCUCUUCCGUAAGGUAUACACUGAAGACUU
This is a long non-coding RNA of Lolium perenne, 1785 nucleotides long. RefSeq lists it as uncharacterized. NCBI's taxonomy places the organism in Eukaryota, Viridiplantae, Streptophyta, Magnoliopsida, Poales, Poaceae. The record is from RefSeq and is a predicted model, not a curated record.